Molecule: ribosomal RNA, 415 nt
Filed under: Diaeretus leucopterus
Lineage: Eukaryota; Metazoa; Arthropoda; Insecta; Hymenoptera; Braconidae
Description: partial 16S ribosomal RNA
Source: RNAcentral
UUACGCUGUUAUCCCUAAGGUAAUUUAUUUUAAAAUUCUAAAUUUUAGGAUUAUAUAUUCAUAUAUUAAUGUAAAUUUUAAUUUUAAGUUUUUUAAAUUAAAAAAUUACCCCAAUUAAAUAUUAAUUUUAAUUUAAAUUUUUAUUAUUAAAAUUUUAAAUAUAAUUUAUAUAAAAUUCUAUAGGGUCUUCUCGUCUUUUAAUAUUAUUUAAGAAUUUUGACUUAAAUUUUAAAUUUAAUUUAUUUAUUUUAUAAAGUUUAUAUUUCAUUUAAUCUUUCAUUCUAGUUUUCAAUUAAAAAACUAAUUAUUAUGCUACCUUAGUACAGUUAUUUAUACUGCAGCCAUUAAAAUUAUUUCAUUGGGCAGAUUUGAUUUAAAAUUAUUUUCAAUAAGACAUGUUUUUGUUAAACAGGCG